Molecule: ribosomal RNA, 301 nt
Filed under: uncultured bacterium
Lineage: Bacteria
Description: partial 16S ribosomal RNA
Rfam family: Bacterial small subunit ribosomal RNA
Source: RNAcentral
CAGUCGCCGCGGUAAUACGAGGGGGGCAAGCGUUGUUCGGAAUUAUUGGGCGUAAAGGGUGCGUAGGCGGCUUGACAAGUCUUGUGUGAAAUCUAUGGGCUCAACCCAUAGUCUGCACGGGAAACUGUCGGGCUUGAGAAUGGGAGAGGUGAGUGGAAUUUCCGGUGUAGCGGUGAAAUGCGUAGAUAUCGGAAGGAACACCUGUGGCGAAAGCGGCUCACUGGACCAUUUCUGACGCUGAUGCACGAAGGCUAGGGGAGCAAACAGGAUUAGAUACCCCAGUAGUCCCUGUCUCUUAUAC